Molecule: ribosomal RNA, 696 nt
Filed under: uncultured Acidobacteriota bacterium
Lineage: Bacteria; Pseudomonadati; Acidobacteriota
Description: bacterial SSU rRNA
Rfam family: Bacterial small subunit ribosomal RNA
Source: RNAcentral
AGUCGCGUGCGCAGUUCCUGUAGCAAUACGGGGAUGGGCGCACGGCGCACGGGUGCGUAACACGUGGGCAAUCUGCCCUCCGAUGGGGAAUAACCCCGCGAAAGCGGGGCUAAUUCCGCAUAACAUUCCUUGGACCAACGUUCGAGGAUUCAAAGCAGUAAUGCGUCGGAGGAGGAGCCCGCGCCCGAUUAGCUAGUUGGUGAGGUAACGGCUCACCAAGGCAAUGAUCGGUAGCUGGUCUGAGAGGAUGGCCAGCCACACUGGAACUGAGACACGGUCCAGACUCCUACGGGAGGCAGCAGUGGGGAAUCUUGCACAAUGGGCGAAAGCCUGAUGCAGCGACGCCGCGUGGGGGAUGAAGCUUCUCGGAGUGUAAACCCCUUUCGACUGGGACGAAUGCCUCGCAAGAGGAGUGACGGUACCAGUAUAAGAAGCCCCGGCUAACUACGUGCCAGCAGCCGCGGUAAGACGUAGGGGGCCAGCGUUGUUCGGAAUUACUGGGUGUAAAGGGUUCGUAGGCGGUGUGGCAAGUUGGGAGUGAAAUCUCUGGGCUUAACCCAGAGGCUGCUUCCAAAACUGCUGUGCUUGAGUGUGAGAGAGGCGCGUGGAAUUGCAGGUGUAGCGGUGAAAUGCGUAGAUAUCUGCAGGAACACCCGUGGCGAAAGCGGCGCGCUGGAUCACUACUGACGCUGAGGA